RNAcentral lists this ribosomal RNA (662 nucleotides) under uncultured Pseudomonas sp. RNAcentral's name for it is "bacterial SSU rRNA". It matches the Rfam family "Bacterial small subunit ribosomal RNA", at positions 27 to 684 of the family's 1533-position model. The record is from RNAcentral. Lineage: Bacteria; Pseudomonadati; Pseudomonadota; Gammaproteobacteria; Pseudomonadales; Pseudomonadaceae.
GAUUGAACGCUGGCGGCAGGCCUAACACAUGCAAGUCGAGCGGUAGAGAGAAGCUUGCUUCUCUUGAGAGCGGCGGACGGGUGAGUAAUGCCUAGGAAUCUGCCUGGUAGUGGGGGAUAACGUUCGGAAACGGACGCUAAUACCGCAUACGUCCUACGGGAGAAAGCAGGGGACCUUCGGGCCUUGCGCUAUCAGAUGAGCCUAGGUCGGAUUAGCUAGUUGGUGAGGUAAUGGCUCACCAAGGCGACGAUCCGUAACUGGUCUGAGAGGAUGAUCAGUCACACUGGAACUGAGACACGGUCCAGACUCCUACGGGAGGCAGCAGUGGGGAAUAUUGGACAAUGGGCGAAAGCCUGAUCCAGCCAUGCCGCGUGUGUGAAGAAGGUCUUCGGAUUGUAAAGCACUUUAAGUUGGGAGGAAGGGUUGUAGAUUAAUACUCUGCAAUUUUGACGUUACCGACAGAAUAAGCACCGGCUAACUCUGUGCCAGCAGCCGCGGUAAUACAGAGGGUGCAAGCGUUAAUCGGAAUUACUGGGCGUAAAGCGCGCGUAGGUGGUUUGUUAAGUUGGAUGUGAAAUCCCCGGGCUCAACCUGGGAACUGCAUUCAAAACUGACUGACUAGAGUAUGGUAGAGGGUGGUGGAAUUUCCUGUGUAGCGGUGA